UGUAUUCACUACUGUAAGUUGCUCUGGAUAAGAGUGUCUACUAAAUGACUAAAA
Salmo salar (Atlantic salmon) is the source of this 54-nucleotide non-coding RNA. The record is from Rfam. NCBI's taxonomy places the organism in Eukaryota, Metazoa, Chordata, Actinopteri, Salmoniformes, Salmonidae.